This 390-nucleotide ribosomal RNA is filed under the name Triticum aestivum (bread wheat). Its description in RNAcentral is "partial small subunit ribosomal RNA". The record is from RNAcentral. Lineage: Eukaryota; Viridiplantae; Streptophyta; Magnoliopsida; Poales; Poaceae.
AUGUUAUCAAUGCUGCAUCAGUAUGAAGGUUUUACUUGUUCAGCUGGGUUGUUCGCAGAAAGCAAUGCAGGUUUGGUUAGUUCUUAUAACGGUUACGAUCUUAUCACCAAAUUAGGGAAGCAGAGCAAUUCCCAGCCUCCCCUGUGUAUUGCGUUCCUACCAAAACUUUUCUGCAUACCACAACAGGGCACUACAUUCUCUAGCAAUUUAAUAGACAGAGUAAAACAUUUUGCUCGGCAUCGAGCAUUUUCUAGCCAAGUAAUGAAUAGUAGAUAUCCAAAUUUCCAAUCCAUGACGAGUUUUUGUUGUUGUUGUUGUAAUCAGAGGCGGAGCUACAGGGCGGCGGCCCACCCUGGAAUUUUGGUCCGGCCUUUAUACCUAUGCAGUUAG